GGGUUGUUUGUUUAUUUUUGUAUUUGUGUGCCAAGGAGCUAAUGUGUUGGUUCAAGUCAUUAGCUCUUUUAUUAAAUUUAUAGAAAAUAGUUUUAUACUUGAAUAUAAAAUAUUUUUUACUAGUAUCCUGUACCUGGAUGAUUCUUCCAAGAUGAUGGCCUAUGGAUUUCUAAUCUUCUGGCCCCUAACUGUUGGAAUAUUUUUUAUCUUUUUUUAGAAUCUACAUUAUCCUUGUAUUUACAAAAGUAUAAUUUUUUUUUCCACGUGGAAAGGUUUCCUGGGAUGGUGGAGACAAGGGAGAGACAAGAGAGGGAAAAGAAA
Molecule: long non-coding RNA, 321 nt
Filed under: Rattus norvegicus (Norway rat)
Lineage: Eukaryota; Metazoa; Chordata; Mammalia; Rodentia; Muridae
Description: long non-coding RNA NONRATT026143
Source: RNAcentral